Aegilops tauschii subsp. strangulata is the source of this 626-nucleotide non-coding RNA. Lineage: Eukaryota; Viridiplantae; Streptophyta; Magnoliopsida; Poales; Poaceae. The record is from RefSeq and is a predicted model, not a curated record.
UCGGCCCAGCGCAGGCCGCGCUGCACCCAGGCCGGAGGAGCAGAGGACAGGGAAGCCGGAUCCCUUCUCUGCCCGGCCACCACAGAGUCCAUGGCGUUGGCGGAGGCGGACGGAACCAUCAGGUCGCCGUGUAUCCGCCUUGGUUACGUGCAUUCAGGAUUCCAGGUCUGGUGGUUCGGUAUGUGCUUCUCGGCUCUUGCUGAUUCCGCCGCUGUCGCAUGGGCGGUUGAAUGCAUGAGAGAGCCCACGGCUGCUUAUGUGCUUCACCGGCAUUGUAAAUCAACUUCAAGUUCAAGGAAUCAAGGAUGGAAAGGUAGAAUACAAUGAAAAUAGACUUGUGUUUCAAGCCCAUUGCUGAAAAUGCAAAUGCACCCGAGGAAAUAGCUGCAAAGGUCAUAUCUGAUGAGAUCAUCGACAUGAUCGACGAUGGUACGUAUUCUUGUGUGGUGCCUUUGGAACGAUUAUUAUUUUCCUUGCACCCCUCAUGUCCAAAUCCUAGCUCAGCCCCUGAUUGUUUGUGUUAGAUGUAAUAAACAGAAAAUUACAGAGUGCAUGAGAUGCUUAUAAGUUCCUUAGGUAAUCAUUCACGGUUCUUUCAUGGAAACAUAUGAUGUUACUGUUUGUUA